Molecule: non-coding RNA, 285 nt
Organism: Arachis ipaensis
Lineage: Eukaryota; Viridiplantae; Streptophyta; Magnoliopsida; Fabales; Fabaceae
Source: RefSeq, a predicted model, not a curated record
GGGUUUAAGUUGGUCUUUGUUCCUUUUGAGUUUUCGGGAGCUUUAUCAUCACUGCCUGUUUGUUAUAGUCACCGUCGCCGGAGUUCUGGUCACCGCUGCCGCUCGAGGUGGUUUCUGGGGCUGCCGACAAACCGGUUCAGCUACCGCCGCUAUUUUGUUUUCUUAGUUCGGUUCGAGUUCUGUAUGUUGAAUGUCGCUUUUAAGUUGCCUAAGUGCUGUGGAAGUGAUCAAAGACUGAGUUUGUGGAUUGCUGUUGAAUUCGGUUAAGAGAAAAGGUUUCGUGAC